GCGCGGAUAGUCUAGUGGUUAUGAUGUCUGCUUUACAUUUAUCCUAAUGUAUUACGCAGAAGGUCGAGAGUAAGUUUUUAAAAGCCACUACUAGUUAUACACUUGCUAAUGAUGAUCGAGGUUCGAGCCUCUCUCUGCGCA
Non-coding RNA from Trematosphaeria pertusa, 141 nucleotides. The record is from the annotation of a RefSeq genome assembly. NCBI's taxonomy places the organism in Eukaryota, Fungi, Ascomycota, Dothideomycetes, Pleosporales, Trematosphaeriaceae.